Molecule: RNA transcript, 2154 nt
Organism: Diachasma alloeum
Lineage: Eukaryota; Metazoa; Arthropoda; Insecta; Hymenoptera; Braconidae
Gene name: leucine-rich repeat-containing protein 40
Exons: 10
Source: RefSeq, a predicted model, not a curated record
UCGAAAAAUACAAUUCGGCGUUAUUUAUUCAUCCGUGUAAGUUCAGGGAUUGCGCGAGUUCUUCAACGUAUUGACAAUUGUCAUGGACAUUGGUUCGCACGGUUCGUUGGGCCCGACACUGAUCGACGAGUUAAUAAUACGCGAGACUGCUGUGAUACGUUUCAGUUGACAGUCAAUUGUUGAAACAUGAGUGUCGGGAGGAAGUCGAAGGUUAAUCAUCGGGCAUUGUUCAAACCCAGGUGUAGGAAUGAUGAUGAUGAGGAAUUGUCGGAGAGGAUUAUUAUUGAUGCGAGGAGAUCCGGGGAACUUAAUUUGGCCGGGAGGGGACUGGCUACGGUUCCCCAAAGGAUAUGGACGAUAAAUCAGCUCUCGAAAGUAGAAGUCGAGGAGUUGGGAAGAAAUCUCGAUUUCGAUGAUGACAAGGAGCGUUGGUGGGAGCAGGAGGCCCUAAAAAAACUCAAUCUGAAUGGAAACAGUAUCAAAACUAUCGAUUCCGAGAUCGAGUAUUUAUCAGAACUUGAAGACUUGGACUUCCAUGAUAAUCUCCUGGAGGAAGUGCCGAAGGCAAUCGGAGCCCUGACGAAGCUCCGAAAAUUUAACAUUUCUCACAACAAUUUAGUGAAGAUUCACAAGAGAUUCUUCACCCUGGAAAAUCUGAAGCAACUGGAUCUCUCGCAUAACAAUCUGGCUGACCUUGAUCCGGCAAUUGGGGAUUUAGUGAUGUUGGAGUCACUGAACCUAUCGUUCAAUAAUCUAACAACCUUGCCCGUGGGUCUGGGGUACCUCGUGCGUUUGUGUACGUUCGAUGUAAGUCAUAAUCUACUCGUGGAGUUGCCACCAGACAUAAUGAGCAUGAGAGUCCUAAAAAAACUGGAUGCAAGCUCAAACCACCUAGAGCUGGUCCCUCCCCUGGGUGAGAUGAGAAAACUCGAGUCCCUCAUUCUCCACACCAACAAUCUCAAAAAUUUUCCCAACAUAACCGGAUGCACCGCCUUGAGGGAACUCAAUCUAUCUAACAACUCCAUAGACGAAAUUGACAUGGAGUGCUUGGAGGACAUGGGCCAAUUGAGGUCUCUCCUACUGGCCCACAAUAAUAUCGAAGUCAUACCCGAUGACAUCAUAAAACUUCUGAAUAUGGAGCGACUCGAUCUGUCCUCCAACAAACUAACACUAAUUCCCAAUUUUAUCUGCAUAAUGCCGAACCUCAAGCACUUCAUAAUAAAUGGAAAUGAAAAAAUUAAAAACGUGAGGAGAGACAUCGUCCAAUGUGGAACUCCAAGAAUUUUGAAACAUCUUCGUCAAGGUUUUGACUCUGAGAGUCUCGAUGUGCAGUCGUCGGCGUCACCAGGAGCUGUACUAGCACCUGACAAAUACACGAUGAAAAAUACAAAACUGUUGAGUCUGACAGCUCAACACCUCCACGAAGUACCUGACGAGGUCCUUGAGGACGCCAAAACAGCCGGAGUGACCUGCGUAGACCUCAGCAAAAAUAAACUACCCCAAGUACCUGAGAAACUGUCGACGAUAACUUCUGUCGAGGACAUGAAAAUCUCCUGCAAUCAAUUGGCAUCAUUACCCGAGUGGUUCGGGGAACCUUUCAAGCAUCUGAGAUAUAUCGAUCUCAGUCAGAAUCAAUUAUCAUCAUUGCCAGAGAGCAUGGGGAGGCUGGAACGAUUGAGGGAGAUCAACAUCUCGUUCAACAGGUUUACAACAAUUCCUGAAUCAAUCUGCAACAUUGAAAACCUGGAGAUACUAAUUAUAAACGACAACCACAUAACAGAGAUUGACGUUACGUGUCUGGAAAAAUUGCGACGUCUCGCGACCCUAGAUCUGUCGAACAACGACAUUGCACAUGUGCCACCUGAACUGGGGAACAUGAGGAACAUUAGGUGACAAAUACGAUCGAUGGCUUGUUGGUGCUAAUGAUCACUCUGCAUGAUUGUCUCAAUAUUUAUUUAAAUAAUCAUUUAGGAUGCUUGAUGUUACAGCUUGUAAUGCCCCCUCAAGCAUUAAAUUGCAUGAUAUCUUCAUGAUUAUCAUCCUGCUCAUGUUUUCAUCGUCAGAUCGAUGUCCAAACUGUUGUCAUGUGUAUGUUCGUAACAAUAUUUUAUUAUCAUUUGUUGAUCAGUUGGUUUUGUGGGUUUAUGGGGUAAU